AAGGAUCAUUCAUUGAGCAUGCAUGCCAUGAUUUAGGCUGCACAAGCUUGCUUUUUUUCUUGACACAAGGCAUUGAUUGCCUUUAGUUGAUGUCUUCUACGUUAAAGUGUGUGUGGUGAUUUGGAAUCGUCACUUAGAAAGAGAAAGUGUAUAAAUCAUUUACAACUUUCAGCAAUGGAUCUCUUGGUUCUCGCAUCGAUGAAGAACGCAGUGAAAUGCGAUAACUGGUGUGAAUUGCAUCCAAGUAACUCUAAUUUACGAAUAACACCAAGUGAAUCAUCGAGUCUUUGAACGCAAUUGCGCCCUCUCGGUCGCUUCCAAUUGGGGGUUGACUCAUAGGGGGUACAUCUGUUUGAGGGUCAUUUGAAUCUCUCAAAGGGUUGGUUUAAUCUGUCCUUUGGAUUUUGGGUCUUGCUGUGAAAUUCAUCUCAGCUUACCUUGAAAGCAUUAGCAAGCUGUUCCAGGUCUUUUCUUGAUGAGGGCAUUCUAACUGGUCGGGUCUAAAGAGCUUCAUUGGUUGAAUCUCAAGCAUUCACCAAAUUGGUCUUGAGUGGUGCUUUCAAUGAUCCAUGAUAAAUGUCUCAAUCACAAAAAAGUCUCAAUGUGAUUCAAACUUGCUUCUAAUCAUCCCAUAGAGGGGAUGGGCUCUCAAUGAGCUCUUUCAAAAAGAAACUCAAUGACCUCAAAUCAGAUGAGAAUACCCGCUGAACUUAA
This 714-nucleotide ribosomal RNA is filed under the name Cantharellus luteocomus. RNAcentral describes it as "eukaryotic LSU rRNA". The stretch from base 164 to 362 matches the Rfam family "5.8S ribosomal RNA". Lineage: Eukaryota; Fungi; Basidiomycota; Agaricomycetes; Cantharellales; Hydnaceae. The record is from RNAcentral.